GAACUACUUGGUUUUGAUCCUCGUUAUUCCGUGGUCCAUAAAAAGAGACGGAUUCCUUCCAUAACUUAAAACUGGAAUCAAUUACUUGCUUCACAGAUGCAUGGAUAACAGAAGACAAAGUAGGGCCAGCGCCCACUUUACUCCCAUGGGAAACCAGCAGGAAACCCUGCAGCAUAUUGAAAUAAGAUGCCAUAUUUUCCUCAAUUGCUUUAACUUCUAGUCUUU
RNAcentral lists this unclassified non-coding RNA (225 nucleotides) under Hevea brasiliensis (rubber tree). The record is from RNAcentral. Lineage: Eukaryota; Viridiplantae; Streptophyta; Magnoliopsida; Malpighiales; Euphorbiaceae.